Molecule: ribosomal RNA, 191 nt
Filed under: uncultured bacterium
Lineage: Bacteria
Description: partial 16S ribosomal RNA
Rfam family: Bacterial small subunit ribosomal RNA
Source: RNAcentral
ACUCCUACGGGAGGCAGCAGGAGGGAAUAUUGGGCAAUGGACACAAGUCUGACCCAGCCAUGCCGCGUGCAGGAUGAAGGCGUUAUGCGUUGUAAACUGCUUUUAUACAGGAAGAAACGACUCUUGCGAGAGGCAUUGACGGUACUGUAUGAAUAAGCACCGGCUAACUCCGUGCCAGCAGCCGCGGUAAU